RNAcentral lists this ribosomal RNA (360 nucleotides) under uncultured bacterium. RNAcentral's name for it is "bacterial SSU rRNA". It matches the Rfam family "Bacterial small subunit ribosomal RNA", at positions 28 to 389 of the family's 1533-position model. The record is from RNAcentral.
GAUGAACGCUAGCGGCAGGCUUAAUACAUGCAAGUCGAGGGGUAUAAAGUAGCUUGCUAUUUUAGAGACCGGCAAACGGUGCGGAACACGUACACAAUCUAACCUUAUCUGGGGGAUAGCCCAUAGAAAUGUGGAUUAAUACCCCAUAGUAUUACGGAGUGGCAUCAUUUUGUAAUUAAAGAAUUUCGGAUAAGGAUGAGUGUGCGUCUGAUUAGGUAGUUGGCGGGGUAACGGCCCACCAAGCCGACGAUCAGUAGCUGAUGUGAGAGCAUGAUCAGCCACACGGGCACUGAGACACGGGCCCGACUCCUACGGGAGGCAGCAGUAAGGAAUAUUGGUCAAUGGACGGAAGUCUGAACC